CAUAAGAUAUGUUACACUCUCAGGAUCACGGAGAUAAACUAUUCCUCUUCCUGUUUAAAGAACUCUGUUGCUGGAUGAUCCAGGAGAAUAAGCCAGAAACCAUCAUGGAGAAGUUGAGCUCACAUAUGACUAGGAGGUCCCAGAAAGGAUCAUAUUAAGAAAAGAAAACCAGCCUCAUUUAAAGAGAAGAAAGGAUCUGUCACAGCCAAGAAGGGAAGCUUAUCAACUAAGGUGGAAAAAUAUUCUUCCAAACUCAGCAACUUCCAGAAAGAAGUCUCCAAUGCCUGUAGCUAUGGAAAUUCCUAGCUCAUCCUUCCCUGGGAAGCAGGGCUCAACAUCCCUUCUGACAUAGUAAUGUCCUAUUUUUUUUUAAGGGAGUAGGAUGGACAGUGAAUUCUUCAAUCAACAGGAUUAGAAACUUGAUUUUCACUUCCUGACAAAACCCUGUAACAAUUUAUAAACCUUCCAGAAUACUUGUAAAGGAAAGCAAUGAUUGCUACAGGACAGGACGGGUUCAUCCACAACAAGUCACACCAGACUAGCCUUCUUUGACCUUUUAAUCUUGUUCUUUAAUAGGGUUACUAGAUCAGAAGGUUGUCAAGUACAGUCCCCCUAGAUGAAAGCAAGCCUCCCUCACUUCAUCUUUAGAGACAAGAUAGAGAGAUAAGACCUGGACGAUAUACAGUAAGCUGGAUUUACGACUACUUUGUAAUGACUAGGUACAAAAUGAAGUGAUUAGAGGACCAACAUCAACUAUAUAAGGGUACUUGCAGAAAGGUGUCAUUAGUUCCACUCUUGGCCCAGUUGUGUUGACGUUUACAAAUGAAAUGGAGACAGGGAUGCCAUGUUUACAAAGCUUAAACUCAUAUGUGGCCUUCUACCCAUUCUACGCCCAGGAUCUAUGUACCCGCAUUUGUGGCAAUUACUGAAGAAGACAAAAAAUUUACUUACAGGGAGAAAGAGAGGAAGGGUUCAAAUUAGGAUUCAGACCAAUUUAGGCCAAGUCAAUGAAGUGAAAUCUUCAGAAUACCCAAAUGCAAAAGGGAAAAAUGUAAUCAGGAAAGUUAAUAAUGCUGACAUCAGGAGAAACAUUAAAAAUACUGGUGACAUGACCUCUUUUCCAAUCUAAUCAGCUUACACCAACUGUCAAUAUUAAACAGUCCUUGCAUGUG
Monodelphis domestica (gray short-tailed opossum) is the source of this 1172-nucleotide long non-coding RNA. RefSeq lists it as uncharacterized. The record is from RefSeq and is a predicted model, not a curated record. Lineage: Eukaryota; Metazoa; Chordata; Mammalia; Didelphimorphia; Didelphidae.